UACGUGGGGAGCAAGCGUUGUUCGGAUUUACUGGGCGUAAAGGGCGCGUAGGCGGCCAGCACAAGUCAGUUGUGAAAUCUCCGGGCUUAACUCGGAAAGGUCAACUGAUACUGUGCGGCUAGAGUGCAGAAGGGGCAACUGGAAUUCUCGGUGUAGCGGUGAAAUGCGUAGAUAUCGAGAGGAACACCUGCGGCGAAGGCGGGUUGCUGGGCUGACACUGACGCUGAUGCGCGAAAGCCAGGGGAGCGAACGGG
RNAcentral lists this ribosomal RNA (254 nucleotides) under uncultured bacterium. Its description in RNAcentral is "partial 16S ribosomal RNA". It matches the Rfam family "Bacterial small subunit ribosomal RNA", at positions 524 to 776 of the family's 1533-position model. The record is from RNAcentral.